Molecule: long non-coding RNA, 980 nt
Filed under: Mytilus galloprovincialis (Mediterranean mussel)
Lineage: Eukaryota; Metazoa; Mollusca; Bivalvia; Mytilida; Mytilidae
Source: RNAcentral
UUGAUUAUUUGGAAUAUCUACUAAUUUUCACUUCUUCGUACUACAUUUGUAUGAACAUCAAGAUUAUUCUCCUUAAAUCUGUACAGGGAAGUUUUAGCUAGCUCUAAUUGUAUAGUUUUAUUGUUGAUAUUCAUCCCAAUUUGUAUCUAGUGUUAAAUUAAGUAUUUAUAUGACAUAACUUUCUUGGUAUUCCUAAUUAUUGGAAGAAUUUUAUACACAUAAGUAGUAUACCUAAAACGACAAAGUUAUUUUUCAUUUACCUGUAGAUAUUAUAAAACCCGUUUUUUUUUUCUGAAGUGAUUAUUUUCGAAGGGUUAAAUAUUUCGCGGUGGUGUUUUGCCAUGGCUUUGUUUGGACGUUUUUGUUUGCUUUUUUGGCCUUGUAUGUUUGUCCCUAAUAUUUUAUUAACUGUGCAUUUGCAUUCAGGUAUCGCAGAUCAAAUUUAUUCGUUCAUAGUGUGUUAAUUUACGUUUUUUGAUUGAGUUAAGCCUUCCAAUUGAUAUUUUAUAGUGUGGUUUUCUAUGUUGUGAUGUUAUGCUAUUGUUUCAGAAAUAGGAAGAAGGUUUGGUACCAUUAAAACGUUUAAUCCCGCUGCAAAUGUUUGCACCUAUCCUAAGUCAGGAAUCUGAUGUACUGUAGCUGUCGUUUGUUUAUGUAAUUUAUACGUGUUUCUCGUUUUUUAUAUAGAUUAGACCGUUGGUUUUCCCGUUUGAAUGGUUUUACACUAGUAAUUUUGGGGCCCUUUAUAGCUUUUUGUUCGGUGUGAGCCAAGGCUCCGUGUUGAAGGCCGUACAUUGACCUAUAAUGGUUUACUUUUAUAAAUUGGUAUUUGGAUGGAGAGUUGUCUCAUUGGCAUUCACACCACAUCUUCCUAUAUCUAGUACAUAUAAUUUCAAUUAAGUGUACCAGUAAGACAUUUAUCAAGUUGUGGUCACAACAUUUUGCAGUAAAUUCUAAUCAAAAUAAAAAAAAUAACGACA